Molecule: ribosomal RNA, 121 nt
Filed under: uncultured archaeon
Lineage: Archaea
Description: partial 16S ribosomal RNA
Source: RNAcentral
ACCUUCGUGGGGCAGCCGGCGCGAAAACUUUACAAUGUGGGAAAGCAUGAUAAGGGAACUCCGAGUGCCAGUAUCUAAUACUGGCUGUCCUUGGCUUUUAAGCACCAGAUGAUAGGACCGC